AACGAACGCUGGCGGCGCGCCUAAUACAUGCAAGUCGAGCGAGAAGACGUAGCAAUACGUUUGUAAAGCGGCGAACGGGUGAGGAAUACAUGGGUAACCUACCCUCGAGUGGGGAAUAACUAGCCGAAAGGUUAGCUAAUACCGCGUACGCUCCUUGGACUUCGGCUCAAGGAGGAAAGCGAUACCGUGGGUAUCGCGCUCUUGGAUGGGCUCAUGUCCUAUCAGCUUGNGGUGAGGUAACGGCUCACCAAGGCUUCGACGGGUAGCUGGUCUGAGAGGACGAUCAGCCACACUGGCACUGCGACACGGGCCAGACUCCUACGGGAGGCAGCAGUAAGGAAUAUUGCGCAAUGGGCGAAAGCCUGACGCAGCGACGCCGCGUGGGGGAUGAAGGUCUUCGGAUUGUAAACCCCUUUCGGGAGGGAAGAUGGAAUGGGGUAACCCAUUCGGACGGUACCUCCAGAA
This 465-nucleotide ribosomal RNA is filed under the name uncultured bacterium. RNAcentral's name for it is "bacterial SSU rRNA". It matches the Rfam family "Bacterial small subunit ribosomal RNA", at positions 29 to 486 of the family's 1533-position model. The record is from RNAcentral.